Neodidymelliopsis sp. IMI 364377 is the source of this 87-nucleotide non-coding RNA. The record is from the annotation of a GenBank genome assembly. Lineage: Eukaryota; Fungi; Ascomycota; Dothideomycetes; Pleosporales; Didymellaceae.
ACUAACAUUCCCAGUGGCUAGGAUUUGUCGCUCUCAUCUGUUCACAGUAGUGCCGACAAGGCCCGGGUUCAAUUCCCGGUGUCGGAA